Molecule: ribosomal RNA, 344 nt
Filed under: uncultured eukaryote
Lineage: Eukaryota
Description: SSU rRNA
Rfam family: Eukaryotic small subunit ribosomal RNA
Source: RNAcentral
CCAGCAGCCGCGGUAAUUCCAGCUCCAGUAGCGUAUAUUAAAGUUGUUGCAGUUAAAAAGCUCGUAGUUGAAGUUCUGUACGGAUUGAGUCUCCACGGAGACACAAGCCGUGCAUCCGUCUGAUUCUUCAGACACUUUACCUUGAGCAAAUUAGAGUGUUCCAGGCAGGCGCCAGCCUGAAUAGUCCAGCAUGGAAUAAUAGAAAAGGACGAAGAGCCACUGUUGGUGCGUGGCCCUUAGUAAUGAUUAAUAGGGAUAGUUGGGGGCAUUCGUAUUUAAUUGUCAGAGGUGAAAUUCUAUGAUUUAUUAAAGACGAACCUAUGCGAAAGCAUUUGCCAAGGAUG